This 431-nucleotide ribosomal RNA is filed under the name uncultured bacterium. Its description in RNAcentral is "partial 16S ribosomal RNA". It matches the Rfam family "Bacterial small subunit ribosomal RNA", at positions 29 to 507 of the family's 1533-position model. The record is from RNAcentral.
AACGAACGCUGGCGGCAGGCUUAACACAUGCAAGUCGAGCGCCCCGCCAGGGGAGCGGCAGACGGGUGAGUACCGCGUGGGAACGUACCUUUUGGUUCGGAACAACUCCGGGAAACUGGAGCUAAUACCGGAUAAGCCCUAACGGGGAAAGAUUUAUCGCCGAAAGAUCGGCCCGCGUCUGAUUAGCUAGUUGGUGAGGUAACGGCUCACCAAGGCGACGAUCAGUAGCUGGUCUGAGAGGAUGAUCAGCCACACUGGGACUGAGACACGGCCCAGACUCCUACGGGAAGCAGCAGUGGGGAAUAUUGGACAAUGGGCGCAAGCCUGAUCCAGCCAUGCCGCGUGAGUGAUGAAGGCCUUAGGGUUGUAAAGCUCUUUUGUCCGGGAAGAUAAUGACUGUACCGGAAGAAUAAGCCCCGGCUAACUUCGUG